CCCUUAGAUGUUCUGGGCCGCACGCGUGCUACACUGAGUGGAUCAGCGGGUCAGGUUGCGCGGAAGCGUUUCCUAAUCUUUAAAUCCGCUCGUGAUGGGGAUUGACGGUUGCAAUUUUCUGUCAUGAACGAGGAAUACCUUGUAAGCGCGGGUCAUCAUCCCGCGCUGAAUACGUCCCUGCCCUUUGUACACACCGCCCGUCGCUCCUACCGAUUGAGUGGUCCGGUGAGGCUUUGGGAUCUGAGCGGAAAGAGCGUUUCGCUGUUUCUGCUCGGAAAACUCAGUCGAACCUUAUCAUUUAGAGGAAGGAGAAGUCGUAACA
RNAcentral lists this ribosomal RNA (322 nucleotides) under uncultured eukaryote. RNAcentral describes it as "partial 18S ribosomal RNA". It matches the Rfam family "Eukaryotic small subunit ribosomal RNA", at positions 1470 to 1796 of the family's 1831-position model. The record is from RNAcentral.